Molecule: ribosomal RNA, 214 nt
Filed under: Clostridioides difficile
Lineage: Bacteria; Bacillati; Bacillota; Clostridia; Peptostreptococcales; Peptostreptococcaceae
Description: partial 23S ribosomal RNA
Rfam family: Bacterial large subunit ribosomal RNA
Source: RNAcentral
UACGGAGGUAGAGCACUGAAUGUCCUAGGGGGUAUUGCACCUACCGAAGACUAUCAAACUCCGAAUGCCGUCAUCUUAUACUUGGGCGUCAGACUGUGGGUGAUAAGAUUCAUAGUCGAAAGGGCAACAGCCCAGAUCGUCAGCUAAGGUCCCUAAAUGUAAGUUAAGUGGUAAAGGAUGUGGGAUUGCACAGACAACCAGGAUGUUGGCUUAG